CGAAGCAUAUGAGGAGAAACUAGUUUUUUCAAUUCAUCAACUUUCUCUGCAGUCGUAAGAUCGUUAAAUCUCUCCUCAAAUGAAGAUAGAGAAGGAAACGAAGCUGGCUGUAAGAAAUUAAGCAAGUUGUACAUCUCACCAAGGUUGUUCUGAAGAGGGGUACCCGUCAAGAGAACACGAUGUUGAAAAGAGAAUGUAUUUAGCAAGCUGAAGAGCUUACUGUCUGAAUUUUUCAAUCGAUGGCCCUCGUCAACAACAAGAACUUCCCAAGGAAUUCCCCGCAAAUGAGAAUAAUCAGCAAGAACCAUUUCAUAUGUAGUUAAAAGCACAUUAAAUUUAUAGGCUUCUGUUUUCUUAUUCAAUCCACUUGGAUCACUUGCAUGCCAUUCAUACUGCCGAAUUACGCCUCUUGCUUUUGCACAGCCAUGAUAGUCUACAACGUUCACAUCUGGAGCCCAUAGCGUGAAUUCAGCAAGCCAAUUGGGCAUUGUGGUAAGAGGUACCAGGACCAAACAAGGACGUGAAACUUUGAAUUCAAAAUACAAUGAUGAAAUAAAAGCACCAGCAGAUAUUGUUUUCCCAAGUCCCAUCUCAUCAGCAAGUGUAUUAACAAAGGGACUUUCUACAGAACAGUUCCUAGAACUUACUGGCAAGUUGAGAAUGAUAUAUGUCAAUUCACUACUUGAAAGGGAAUCUUCUAUUGCAGGAAGCUCUUCUAAUAUUUCCUUUUAUAUGGAUUUAUUUCCUCUUUUCCGUAUAGUUGUUUUCCAUAAUUUUCAUUGUUAGGACAGAUUCUCUUUCCUUAAAUUUGGAAUAGCAAUUAAUAGAAUUUAUGUGCAUCGGUCUAUAAAAUGUAAGUUAUGUUUUCAUGCAAAAUCUAGUUUCCAGUCAAUUUUCUCUAUAUAUGUGUAAAGAUUCUAGGUUCUAGACGAAUUUCAAUGAACCAAACAAAUACUGUAUCUACUAGCUAAUAGUCAACUACUUCACCUUCACUGAACCCAGCAUGUCAUUCUCAGAAUCCCCUUCAGCAAUAUCAGUUGAACCAUCUUGAAGGUUUGAACGAUCAAGCAAUUUUAAAAUGGCAUUUUCAUCCCACAGAAUCUUGCUACUGCUAUCUGUACACUUAUCCUCAUAUACGUCACCAAGACCACCAGUCCUCUUCCGGUGCUUCUGUUUCCGAUGCUUAUGUCCUAUAUCUGCUACUGCCUCAUCUUUGUGACUAUUAUUAUUUUCAUUUGUGUCUUUUCCAUUAAGGCCAGGAGAAUCAUUGAAGAGUUCUUCAGUUCCCCAUUUUAAAAUAUCUUCUACUUCUUUUUGAGAUCCAGAUUUAUUUACAAAAAGUUGAUCAAGCAUCAAUUUCUUCUUAGCAAGCUGCAAGAUGCGUUCUUCAACGCUGGCACGAACCACAAGCCGGUAUACCAAAAGUCUAUUUGAUUGCCCAAUUCUGUGUGCUCGAUUCAUUGCUUGUAUAUCUGCAUGAGGGUUGAAAUCAGAAUCAUAGAUGAUGACAGUGUCCGCAGAGGCCAAAUUUAUCCCAAGUCCACAGGACCUAGUUGAUAACAAGAAAACAAAUCGGCUUUUGUCUUGGUUGAAUCGUGCAAUUGCUGUCUGACGAUCUGCUAUGGAGACAGAGCCGUCCACUCUCUCGUAUGUUUUAGGCCCAAAUUCUAUGUUCAAAUAGUCCUCCAGGAUGUCAAGAAGUUUUGUCAUUUGUGAGAAAAUAAGAACUCUGUGACCUUCAUUGUACAAAAUCUUUAGCAUAGAAUGCAGAAGAGUCAACUUAGCUGAAGCCUUUAUUCUCAUUUCAUGAAGGAACUCAACAGAUCCAGAAUCAGGCUCAGUCCCUGGUAUAAGAUAUGGAUGAUUGCAGACCUUCCUCAGUUGCAUCACAAUGUUCAUCAUAGAUUGAUGAGCAAUACCUUUCCCAAUAUUCCGCAAUAUUUGAUAAUUCUUUGUAAGCAUUGCACGAUAAUAUUCAGCUUGGAUGGAUGACAACUCAACAGGAACAAUUCUUUCUGUCUUGGGAGGAAUAUUUUGCAUCGCAUCCUUUUUAAGUCUGCGAAGCAUAUGAGGAGAAACUAGUUUUUUCAAUUCAUCAACUUUCUCUGCAGUCGUAAGAUCGUUAAAUCUCUCCUCAAAUGAAGAUAGAGAAGGAAACGAAGCUGGCUGUAAGAAAUUAAGCAAGUUGUACAUCUCACCAAGGUUGUUCUGAAGAGGGGUACCCGUCAAGAGAACACGAUGUUGAAAAGAGAAUGUAUUUAGCAAGCUGAAGAGCUUACUGUCUGAAUUUUUCAAUCGAUGGCCCUCGUCAACAACAAGAACUUCCCAAGGAAUUCCCCGCAAAUGAGAA
This 2350-nucleotide long non-coding RNA is filed under the name Cicer arietinum (chickpea). RNAcentral describes it as "long non-coding RNA (CARI_LNC001818)". Lineage: Eukaryota; Viridiplantae; Streptophyta; Magnoliopsida; Fabales; Fabaceae. The record is from RNAcentral.